Herpailurus yagouaroundi (jaguarundi) is the source of this 3551-nucleotide RNA transcript. It is a transcript of the gene named zinc finger protein 530-like, with no coding region annotated. Lineage: Eukaryota; Metazoa; Chordata; Mammalia; Carnivora; Felidae. The record is from RefSeq and is a predicted model, not a curated record. The transcript is spliced from 5 exons.
UUUUGGCUGCUCUGAGCUGUAUGUGCUGGGUCACGGACUCCUGAGGUCGGGUGGAGACUGAGGGGACCGAGAAGGCGCGAGGGGAGGCGCUGUCCCCGCCGCGCAGACUGGCGUCCGCGACUCCUCAACGCCGCCCGGGCUGCCCCGCGCCGGGGCCGGGACGGGGACCGCUGGCCCGGGUGUCCGCUCCGCCCAGAGUCAGAUGGCGGCGACCGCGCGCAGGGACCCGGCUCAGAGUUGUGUGACUUUCGAGGACGUGGCCGUGUACUUCUCCCAGGAGGAGUGGGGGCUCCUUGAUGAGGCUCAGAGGUUCCUGUACCACGACGUGAUGCUGGAGACCUUUGCACUUGCAACAUCCCUGGAUUGUUGGUGUGGAGCAGAGAAUGAGGAAGUACCUUCUGAGCAGAGUGUUUCUGUAGAAAGAGUGUCACAGGUCAGGACUUCUAAGACAGGUUUGUCAAUCCAGAAGACUCACCUCUGUGAGAAUUGUGUCCCAGUCUUGAAAGACAAUUUGCAACCUUCUGAGCUCCGAGCAGCAUAUUCUGGGCAGAAAUCAUACUUGGGUGGGGCGACCAGAGGCUUCUGGUUUGGUGCAAACCUUCACCAGCAUCAAAAGCAUGACAGUGGAGAGAAAAUGUUCAAAAUGGAUAUGGACAGUGCCUUGUUAGUGACGAGCUGCAGAUUCCACAUGUCAGCGAGGCCCUUUGCCAGUGGGGAAGGUGGAAAGGACUUUCUAGCUCCCUCAGGCCUUCUCCAGCACCUGGAUAUGCCCAAUAGAGAGAAGCCCCAGAGCAGCAUUGAGUGUGGGGAGCCCUUUACCAGCGGAAUAAGUCACAAGUGGAUCAAAUGCAGGAGAGCUUUCAGCAACACUCACACUCUUGACCACCAGAGAUUCCACGAUGGAGAAGGUCUUGAAGAAUGUAGCAAAUGUGGAAAAGACGUCCGCUGUAAAUACAGACCUUUUCAGCACCAGAAAAUUCACACCGAAGAAAGAUCUUACAAGUGUAGUGAAUGUGGGAGGUUCUUUAGUCGCAAAACCCAUCUCAUUCGACACUGGAGAGUUCACACUGGAGCAAAGCCUUAUGAAUGCAUAGAAUGUGGCAGAUCUUUCAGCCAGAAAUCUGACCUCAUUCAACACCAAAGAGUUCAUACUGGAGAGAGGCCGUACGAGUGCAGUGAGUGUGGGAAGUCCUUUAUCCAAAAAUCUAUCCUUAUUAAACAUCUGAGAGUUCAUACUAACGAAAGGCCUUACAAAUGCAUUGAAUGUGGGAAAUCAUUUACCCAAAGUUCUGGCCUUCUUCGCCACAAGAGAGCUCACGCUAGAGCAAGGCCUUAUGAAUGCACUGAAUGUGGGAAAUCAUUUAGUUGUAAAACCCACCUCAUGAGACACUGGAGAGUUCACACUGGAGUAAGGCCUUAUGAUUGCAUUGAAUGUGGGAAAUCUUUUAGUGAGAAAUCUGUCCUCAUUCAACACCAAAGAGUUCACACUGGAGAAAGGCCUUAUGAGUGCAAUGAAUGUGGGAAAUCCUUUAGCCAGAAAUCUGUCCUCAUUCAACACCAAAGAGUUCACACUGGAGAAAAGCCGUAUGAAUGCAGUGAAUGUGGGAAAUCCUUCAGCCGUAAAACCCACCUUGUUCGACACCAGACAGUUCACUCUGGAGCAAAGCCUUAUGAGUGCAAUGAGUGUGGGAAAUCCUUUAGCCAGAGCUCUGGCCUCCUUCGACAUAGGAGAGCUCACCUGUAGUGAAUGAGAAAUCCUUUAGCUGCAAACUGAGCUCAGUCAACACCAAAGAGUUCACACAAAGUGAAACAGAUGCAGAGAAUGUGCCCUUUCCUUACUUAGUUUAAUUGUGGUGGAGGAAAGCCUCUUGAGCCAUCUGCCUGAACUGAAUUUUAUAGAUCUGAAAACAUCUACAGACUGGAGAUUUCCCUGUAAGUUUCAGUUCUGCGGGAAGCAUGUACAACCUGUCCAAGCUCCUUGCCAGGUUGAUGUCACUGCCAGUUUCAGUGGCAGCAGCCACUUCAGCUCUACCACGUGACCAGUCCCCACAGUGUGCGUCAGUCACCUUGGUCUGCUUGUCAAAGCUGACCUCUGCUCUCCCAUGUGCUAGAGGAAAUCAAGAGUAUCCUGAGCCUUAUGAGAUCUUCAUUCCCUUCUCUCUUGACAAGUUAGCACAUGGACUUGACCUUCUGUUGGCCUCUAGAACACUAUCUGGGUUCUGCUGAUGGCCUGCGCAGAAGAACUAGCUUUUUGAGAGAUCUAACUGGUCUCAGGGAGUGCUCUUGAUGAGGUUUUCCAGCUUCCAAGUCAUUGAACCGGAAACUCGCACAGCUUUGGCUGGUUUGUGCAAUAAUAAAGGCCUUUCUGUUUAAGCACCUUUAAUCUUAGAAACUCUGUCCACAGUGUAGGGUAGCUUGAAGGACUGCCAACUUGAAGUGGAAAGUUGUGAGGGGAUGCAAACGUUGGGUGCCUCAGAGGGGACAGUGUGAUGGUAGAGUGUAGUGCUCUCCAGUUGCAUCAUAGUCUGCGUUGCUGCCAGGACCUCCUAGGAAAGACUGCUCUGUGGUCCUGAGUUUUUGCCUGGAUGCCAGAGGUCACCCUGAGAAAGGGGCAGUUGUGACAACAUCCGUGCUUUUGGAGACAACGUGAAUUUUUCCUUGUUCACGGGAUACCUCAGUGCCCAGCAGUGCUGAGGAAAAUCAGCCCCAGGUCCUGCAGAGGAGCUGUGCACCCUGAUACCCAGAGCUCAGUAGGCCAGUGUCGCUGGCUAUAAGACUGCAGGGGCAAGGGAACCCAUAAUUGGCACAGAAACACUAUCAAGAGAGCGUGGAGGAGACUGCCGCAGGGUACAUGGAGUGCGCCUCUCCCGGGUGUGCACCCACAGGUGUUUCGGUGAUUGCAGGCUGCGAGUGUACAGAAAUCUCAGGAUCUCCAGCAGCGUGUGAGACUUCCAACUCCUUCACCCUUGUCAGUGCCUGAUGCCAUGAAAGCAUGGUGUCCACAGGACCCGAGACGACUUGAGUCCAACCGUUCUAUACAAGCUUCACAGAGACUCUGGAAAAAUCAAGGUUAUAUGAAAUGAUUUUGGGAGAAGUUGACCGUGCAAGGAGAAGGACAUUAGGUGAAGCAGCCAGAACUGCAGCCAGUGGAGAGAAGAGAGAAAAAGGGGAGAAAACCAUGCUGGCCAAGAGUGAGUCUCACAGAAGAAAGAGCUCAUGAAAAUGGUCUGACUCUUACAGAAUAAAAGAGUGGAAGAAAAAUAGGAAUGCUACACACCACGGAGAGUACUAUUGACACAUACAUACUGAUUCAGUGACGUCUUCAGUCAACUGAAUAAAUAAUAAAAGUGAGAUUCUAGUGAUUGAUAACACGGUUAUCAAAAGAAGAUUCAAAUACAGAGACCAACAAGACUUUAAAGGAGGAAGAGUAAAGGUCAAGUGAAAUAUCCUGAUUCCAGGAUGGAGAAUAUGAACAAAAGACCAGAGGUGGACAGAUGAGGAAACAGACUGAACAAACAGAUGACCGUCCACAACAGCAAAAGACAUCAGCA